This 454-nucleotide ribosomal RNA is filed under the name Lachnoanaerobaculum saburreum. RNAcentral's name for it is "bacterial SSU rRNA". It matches the Rfam family "Bacterial small subunit ribosomal RNA", at positions 38 to 493 of the family's 1533-position model. The record is from RNAcentral. Lineage: Bacteria; Bacillati; Bacillota; Clostridia; Lachnospirales; Lachnospiraceae.
GGCGGCGUGCUUAACACAUGCAAGUCGAACGAAGCUGUUAAAAGGAAGUCUUCGGAUGGAAUUUUAACAGACUUAGUGGCGGACGGGUGAGUAACGCGUGGAUAACCUGCCUUAUACAGGGGGAUAACGGAGAGAAAUUUCCGCUAAGACCGCAUAAGACCACAGCACCGCAUGGUGCAGGGGUAAAAUAUUAAUAGGUAUAAGAUGGAUCCGCGUCCGAUUAGCUGGUUGGUGAGGUAGAGGCUCACCAAGGCGACGAUCGGUAGCCGGCCUGAGAGGGUGAACGGCCACAUUGGGACUGAGACACGGCCCAAACUCCUACGGGAGGCAGCAGUGGGGAAUAUUGGACAACGGGGGAAACCCUGAUCCAGCGACGCCGCGUGAGUGAAGAAGUAUUUCGGUAUGUAAAGCUCUAUCAGCAGGGAAGAAAAUGACGUACCUGACUAAGAGCCCC